This 71-nucleotide transfer RNA is filed under the name Amborella trichopoda. It matches the Rfam family "tRNA". From Rfam's summary of the family: Transfer RNA (tRNA) molecules are approximately 80 nucleotides in length. The record is from Rfam by way of RNAcentral. Lineage: Eukaryota; Viridiplantae; Streptophyta; Magnoliopsida; Amborellales; Amborellaceae.
GACGAUAUAGUUGAGUGGUAUGGCGUGGGACUGUAAAUCCCCUCCUCCUAGUUCAAUUCCGGGUGUCGUUU